GGAUCCCUGAAAACCGGUCUCAGUUCGGAUCGCAGUCUGCAACUCGACUGCGUGAAGGUGGAGUCGCUAGUAAUCGCGGAUCAGCAACGCCGCGGUGAAUGCGUUCCCGGGCCUUGUACACACCGCCCGUCAAGUCAUGAAAGUGGGCAGCACCCGAAGACGGUGGCCUAACCCUUGUGGGGGGAGCCGUCUAAGGUGAGGCUCGUGAUUGGGACUAAGUCGUAACAAGGUAUC
RNAcentral lists this ribosomal RNA (234 nucleotides) under uncultured bacterium. Its description in RNAcentral is "partial 16S ribosomal RNA". It matches the Rfam family "Bacterial small subunit ribosomal RNA", at positions 1269 to 1500 of the family's 1533-position model. The record is from RNAcentral.